Molecule: ribosomal RNA, 1358 nt
Filed under: uncultured bacterium
Lineage: Bacteria
Description: bacterial SSU rRNA
Rfam family: Bacterial small subunit ribosomal RNA
Source: RNAcentral
GAUGAACGCUAGCUACAGGCUUAACACAUGCAAGUCGAGGGGCAGCAUGGUCUUAGCUUGCUAAGGCCGAUGGCGACCGGCGCACGGGUGAGUAACACGUAUCCAACCUGCCGUCUACUCUUGGACAGCCUUCUGAAAGGAGGAUUAAUACAAGAUGGCAUCAUGAGUCCACAUGUUCACAUGAUUAAAGGUAUUCCGGUAGACGAUGGGGAUGCGUUCCAUUAGAUAGUAGGCGGGGUAACGGCCCACCUAGUCUUCGAUGGAUAGGGGUUCUGAGAGGAAGGUCCCCCACAUUGGAACUGAGACACGGUCCAAACUCCUACGGGAGGCAGCAGUGAGGAAUAUUGGUCAAUGGGCGAGAGCCUGAACCAGCCAAGUAGCGUGAAGGAUGACUGCCCUAUGGGUUGUAAACUUCUUUUAUAAAGGAAUAAAGUCGGGUAUGGAUACCCGUUUGCAUGUACUUUAUGAAUAAGGAUCGGCUAACUCCGUGCCAGCAGCCGCGGUAAUACGGAGGAUCCGAGCGUUAUCCGGAUUUAUUGGGUUUAAAGGGAGCGUAGAUGGAUGUUUAAGUCAGUUGUGAAAGUUUGCGGCUCAACCGUAAAAUUGCAGUUGAUACUGGAUAUCUUGAGUGCAGUUGAGGCAGGCGGAAUUCGUGGUGUAGCGGUGAAAUGCUUAGAUAUCACGAAGAACUCCGAUUGCGAAGGCAGCCUGCUAAGCUGCAACUGACAUUGAGGCUCGAAAGUGUGGGUAUCAAACAGGAUUAGAUACCCUGGUAGUCCACACGGUAAACGAUGAAUACUCGCUGUUUGCGAUAUACAGCAAGCGGCCAAGCGAAAGCGUUAAGUAUUCCACCUGGGGAGUACGCCGGCAACGGUGAAACUCAAAGGAAUUGACGGGGGCCCGCACAAGCGGAGGAACAUGUGGUUUAAUUCGAUGAUACGCGAGGAACCUUACCCGGGCUUAAAUUGCAGAUGAAUUACGGUGAAAGCCGUAAGCCGCAAGGCAUCUGUGAAGGUGCUGCAUGGUUGUCGUCAGCUCGUGCCGUGAGGUGUCGGCUUAAGUGCCAUAACGAGCGCAACCCUUGUUGUCAGUUACUAACAGGUUCCGCUGAGGACUUUGACAAGACUGCCAUCGUAAGAUGUGAGGAAGGUGGGGAUGACGUCAAAUCAGCACGGCCCUUACGUCCGGGGCUACACACGUGUUACAAUGGGGGGUACAGAGGGCCGCUACCACGCGAGUGGAUGCCGAUCCCAAAAACCUCUCUCAGUUCGGACUGGAGUCUGCAACCCGACUCCACGAAGCUGGAUUCGCUAGUAAUCGCGCAUCAGCCACGGCGCGGUGAAUACGUUCCCGGGCCU